CAAUAGCGUAUAUUAACGUUGUUGCAGUUAAAAAGCUCGUAGUUGGAUUUCUGGUUGAAGCGACCGGUCGGGCGUUGAUUCGUCUGCACUGGAGUCGGUUUUGGCCAUCCUCUAGGAAAGUGCGUCUGGUAUUAAGUUAUCGGGCGUAUGAUCCUGGUCUUUUACUGUGAAAAAAUUAGAGUGUUUAAAGCAGGCCUUCGCCUUGAAUACAUUAGCAUGGAAUAAUAAGAUAGGACUUUGGUCUAUUUUGUUGGUUUGCAGACCGAAGUAAUGAUUAAUAGGGAUAGUUGGGGGUAUUUAUAUUCCGAUGUCAGAGGUGAAAUUCUUAGAUUUUCGGAAGAUAAACUUAUGCGAAAGCAUUUACCAAGGAUGUUUNCAUUA
Molecule: ribosomal RNA, 381 nt
Filed under: uncultured eukaryote
Lineage: Eukaryota
Description: partial 18S ribosomal RNA
Rfam family: Eukaryotic small subunit ribosomal RNA
Source: RNAcentral